UACGAAGGGGGCUAGCGUUGUUCGGAAUUACUGGGCGUAAAGCGCGCGCAGGCGGCUAUCCAAGUCAGUGGUGAAAGCCCGGAGCUCAACUCCGGAACUGCCAUUGAAACUGUUUAGCUUGAGGACGAGAGAGGUGAGUGGAAUUCCCAGUGUAGAGGUGAAAUUCGUAGAUAUUGGGAAGAACACCGGUGGCGAAGGCGGCGAGCUGGGCCAUGUCUGACGCUGAGGCGCGACAGCGUGGGGAGCAAACAGG
This 253-nucleotide ribosomal RNA is filed under the name uncultured bacterium. Its description in RNAcentral is "partial 16S ribosomal RNA". It matches the Rfam family "Bacterial small subunit ribosomal RNA", at positions 524 to 776 of the family's 1533-position model. The record is from RNAcentral.